UUCCGGUUGAUCCUGCCGGAGGUCACUGCUAUUGGGAUUCGACUAAGCCAUGCGAGUCGAGAGGGUUCGGCCCUCGGCGAACUGCUCAGUAACACGUGGAUAAUUUGCCCUUAGGUGGAGGAUAAUCUCGGGAAACUGAGAAUAAUACUCCAUAGAUCUAGGAUGCUGGAAUGCACUUAGAUUGAAAGUUCCGGCGCCUAAGGAUAAGUCUGCGGACUAUCAGGUUGUAGUCAGGGUAAAGUCCUGACUAGCCUACAACGGAUACGGGUUGUGAGAGCAAUAACCCGGAGACGAUAUCUGAGACACGAUAUCGGGCCCUACGGGGCGCAGCAGGCGCGAAACCUUCACAAUGUGCGAAAGCGCGAUGAGGGGAUCCCAAGUGCUUGCUCGUAAGAGUAAGCUGUUUUUAUGUCUAAAAAGCAUAGAGAGUAAGGGCUGGGUAAGACGGGUGCCAGCCGCCGCGGUAAUACCUGCAGCUCAAGUAGUGACCGCUAUUAUUGGGCCUAAAACGUUCGUAGCCGGUUUGAUAAAUGCCUGGGUAAAUAGUGUAGCUUAACUAUACGAAUUCCGGGUAGACUGUUAGACUUGAGACCGGGAGAGGCUAGAGGUACUCCUGGGGUAGAGGUGAAAUUCUGUAAUCCUGAGGGGACCACCAGUGGCGAAGGCGUCUAGCUAGAACGGGUCUGACGGUGAGGAACGAAGCCCUGGGGCGCGAACCGGAUUAGAUACCCGGGUAGUCCAGGGUGUAAACGCUGCUUGCUUGAUGUUAGUUGGGCUCCGAGCCCAAUUAGUGUCGGAGAGAAGUUGUUAAGCAAGCUGCCUGGGAAGUACGAUCGCAAGAUUGAAACUUAAAGGAAUUGGCCGGGGAGCACAGCAACGGGUGGAGCGUGCGGUUUACUGGAUCAACGCCGGAAAUCUC
This 919-nucleotide ribosomal RNA is filed under the name uncultured archaeon. Its description in RNAcentral is "bacterial SSU rRNA". It matches the Rfam family "Archaeal small subunit ribosomal RNA", at positions 1 to 928 of the family's 1478-position model. The record is from RNAcentral.